This 433-nucleotide ribosomal RNA is filed under the name uncultured bacterium. Its description in RNAcentral is "partial 16S ribosomal RNA". It matches the Rfam family "Bacterial small subunit ribosomal RNA", at positions 29 to 507 of the family's 1533-position model. The record is from RNAcentral.
AGCGAACGCUGGCGGCAGGCCUAACACAUGCAAGUCGAACGGAUCCUUCGGGAUUAGUGGCGGACGGGUGAGUAACACGUGGGAACGUGCCCUUUGGUUCGGAACAACUCAGGGAAACUUGAGCUAAUACCGGAUGUGCCCUUCGGGGGAAAGAUUUGUCGCCAUUGGAGCGGCCCGCGUCUGAUUAGCUAGUUGGUGAGGUAACGGCCCACCAAGGCGACGAUCAGUAGCUGGUCUGAGAGGAUGAUCAGCCACACUGGGACUGAGACACGGCCCAGACUCCUACGGGAGGCAGCAGUGGGGAAUCUUGCGCAAUGGGCGAAAGCCUGACGCAGCCAUGCCGCGUGAAUGAUGAAGGUCUUAGGAUUGUAAAAUUCUUUCAGCGGGGACGAUAAUGACGGUACCCGCAGAAGAAGCUCCGGCUAACUUCGUG